UUCACAGAGAGAACAAAAAGCCUUUCCAUUUUGUGAUUUUCACACAGCUACAAAUAGUCUCAGCCACGCAUUAAUGCCUUCCGGCACAAAGUUAGCUCAAAAGGAAAUGUGAGCUCAAAAGUAACUAACCAAUUAAAUCUUAAAAUUGAAGACCAUGCUCCCGAGCUGCAUCAGCAAGAGCUUGUAUACGACCAUGAUAUAGGUAUCCACCCCGAUCAAAGGCCACUUUAGUUAUCCCUUUCUCUAAACAGGACUUUGCUAUGACUUCACCCACCUUCUUAGCUACUUCAAUGGUAGGACCAGAACUAAAGUCAAACUCCUCAAAGACAGGUUUCUUUGUUGAAGCUGAAGCCAGCGUGUGCAUCUUUGAGUCAUCAAUCACCUGGACAUAAAGAUGCUUGUUGGAUCGGAAUACGCACAACCUUGGCCUCUCUGGAGUUCC
This 442-nucleotide unclassified non-coding RNA is filed under the name Hevea brasiliensis (rubber tree). The record is from RNAcentral. Lineage: Eukaryota; Viridiplantae; Streptophyta; Magnoliopsida; Malpighiales; Euphorbiaceae.